This 76-nucleotide transfer RNA is filed under the name Pseudomonadota bacterium. Its description in RNAcentral is "tRNA-Lys". It matches the Rfam family "tRNA". From Rfam's summary of the family: Transfer RNA (tRNA) molecules are approximately 80 nucleotides in length. Their secondary structure includes four short double-helical elements and three loops (D, anti-codon, and T loops). Further hydrogen bonds mediate the characteristic L-shaped molecular structure. tRNAs have two regions of fundamental functional importance: the anti-codon, which is responsible for specific mRNA codon recognition, and the 3' end, to which the tRNAs corresponding amino acid is attached (by aminoacyl-tRNA synthetases). tRNAs cope with the degeneracy of the genetic code in two manners: having more than one tRNA (with a specific anti-codon) for a particular amino acid; and 'wobble' base-pairing, i.e. permitting non-standard base-pairing at the 3rd anti-codon position. The record is from RNAcentral. Lineage: Bacteria; Pseudomonadati; Pseudomonadota. RNAcentral also lists the same sequence under 1 other name.
GGGCCGUUAGCUCAGCCGGUAGAGCAGAGGACUUUUAAUCCUUUGGUCGGCAGUUCGAACCUGCCACGGCCUACCA